Molecule: long non-coding RNA, 2586 nt
Organism: Musa acuminata AAA Group (dessert banana)
Lineage: Eukaryota; Viridiplantae; Streptophyta; Magnoliopsida; Zingiberales; Musaceae
Exons: 2
Source: RefSeq, a predicted model, not a curated record
CUCGUAAGAACUCUUGAGUCGGUCGCCAUUGCCCGCACGCAUCCAUUUGCUUGACCGACCGACCGACCGCAGGCCAAGACAUGAUACAGCGGCCAAAACACCCUCUCGUGUCCUUCUCCCAAUUAAAACUCUGCCGGCCUUCUGUUUCCUGUGUGUCUUUCUUCUAGGGUUCCGCUCUUAAGAGACGAAACGGAAAUAAGUCUUCAAUUCUCUACUCCUCGAUCUCGGUCUCACCUAUGGCGAUGGAGAGCUCGAGCUUCCUGUCCUGCGACAAGCUGGACCGCGUUGUGAAUUGGGUCGGGGCGAGCGUCUCCUCAGCGUUCUUCGCCUCCCUCGAGCGCUGCUCAUGCAUCACUCUCAGCACCACCGACAACGACGACGAGGUGGAGGAGGAGGCUAAGGACCGCCCUCUGAUGCUCACCAAGCCGGUUGCCAUCGACGGCCCCGACGACGCCACCUCCCCUGCUGUUUCCACCAACCCUAGCGUCGUUGACAAGCUGCCCCCUGUCUAGUUCCUGAUCCUUGCAUCAUCGGUGCACCAUUCGGUAAUCGAAACUAGUUACUACGCUUCCUGCUUGCAUGCUCGGACGAAAUUAGCGACCUGUAGUUAUCAACUUGUAUGAGGUAAGGGGAUGGUGUGAAUAUAUAGUUAUGUGUUUAUAUACAAGUUUGAAUCUUGCAUUAGUUUUAAGUUUCUCAAGGUGUGCGAUGUUAUGUUAUGUAUUCUUCUAUGGUUGGACACAACAGAUUUGAAGUAUAUGAAAUCUGUACGUAAUGCUUGUGGUCUUUAUAUAUCAAUUGAGUAUCAACUAUGCAUGCUAUUUUGUGUUGCCAUAAAUUCUUUGUAAUCCUUCUCUACUUAUCAGUAUACUACACUGGGAUGUCCGGUUUUUAAGUGUAAGGAUAAGAGGUUUUAUCCGUGGGUUUUUGCAUAAUAACCUGCUCUCAGUGGCCAACCUGAUCGCUGCUGUUGUCGUUCUUUUUCUACCAUGUAUGCGGUGAAGGAAGAAUAUUGAGGUAAUUCGAGUGUUUUGGUUUAUCUCUUCACCUAGUUGUAUCCCGUUAGGGCAGGUGGGUAUAAGAAAAAUCUGUCGAGUGUGAAGUUAUUGGUUUUUACCUCUGGAAUCUUGCAUAUUAUGUCUUGGAUCAUUGAAUGCAUAGCUAGUUAAUGUUUUCUAUAGUGUCGAUUAACUAAUGACAUUUCUAUUUUGAUUUCCAUGAUCUUUUUCCAAUCAAUAUCUAGUUAUUACCAAGUUGCAGCGGGAUACAGGGGUUUUUUUUUCGUUUGUGAAACUGCUCUCAGUAGAUAAUCUGAUCACUGCUAUUAACACUCGUUUUCUAGUAUGCUUGCAGUGGAAGCAAAAUGAUGAAGUUAUGCAGUAAUGUUCAUUCAUUUCAUGGUUCAAACCAAAAAAAGCAACACUGUUGCUAUUAGAAUUUUGACCAAAAAGUGAAUAAUUUGUUAUUUUUAUUUUCCAAUGUGACUUGGACGUUUUGCCUGAGAGAUUGAUUCUGGAGCUAACAUUUCCUAGAAUCAACCUAUGCAUAUUUAAAUGCUAAAUUUCUGACUCUAGGCAUUGUAACAACUAAGAUACUUUGUGCCACGUAUUCUUGUGUGUUUCUUUGGGGCUGAGCUUGAUAUCAAUUAGUCUUUUGAUGAAUGACCAAGCAGAGUUUACAUGAGAGCUACAAUGGCUUUUGUAAUCGGCUAUUGGCAAGAAACUCUAAUGGGUUAAUUAGAAUCUUGUAGGGCCAUACAUUAUUUAUUCAACAACCAAUAGUUGUCAUGUCAAUAAAACAAAAAAAAAAACUAUAGAGAGAACUGAAUCUUACAAAAUGUAGAUGAUAUUAGCUUCCGAUAUUAAACUUCUAAUGCGUACCAAAUAUUCUAUAAAUGAGUUUCAGAAGGGUUAGGCACAAAUAUAAAAUUGAUAUACAUAUUUCAUUGGCAAUACAAUGUUUUCUAUCUAUUGUCAAAUUGAAGUUGCAGUCAAUUUUAUUUGCUCAAGUUCAUUCUUUUCGAAGUUCCAUGUCACAGUGGGUUUGACAUUUUCAAGGCAAUUAUUCAGACCAAUCUCAAAUUAUGGUUCAACAGUUUUUAGUCUGUUUCAACUAAAGUGGGUUUGAAACCUCAUGUUAUUUUACUAAGAACAUCAAGAGCCCACACCGAGGUUAGUUAUCGACUCUGAUUAUACAUUUUGCAAUGUCCCAUGUGAAUUUGGCUUAUGUUUUUGUUACCAGUGCAGAAUAUAAUUACAAUGAGCCAAUUUUUGGAGCACAGGUUUGUUGGUGUUCAGCUGAAAUAAUUUGAAUCUGGCAAUGCUUUUUUACUCAGAUAUCAUUGGUAUUUCAUUCAUGGAGGGCAUAUUUAAUUGUGCAACAAGUUCUUUUUAUAGCAGAUGCUCAACUAUUUAUGUUGAACUGCAGUUAGUUUCUCUCUGAUGCCAACAGGAUCUCUCUCUACCUAUUUGCCCAAUACUUUUAGCUAAGUUAUGUGGGAAGAGAAUCUAUGUUAUUGAUGAAAUGCAGUUAAACAUUUUAUUGUCAAACAUGCAUGAAGCAACAGAUAUAGGAGCAUUAAUUUCA